ACGCUGGCGGCGUGCUUACACAUGCAAGUCGAACGAAACACCUUAUCUGAUUUUCUUCGGAACUGAAGAUUUGGUGAUUGAGUGGCGGACGGGUGAGUAACGCGUGGGUAACCUACCCUGUACAGGGGGAUAACAGUCAGAAAUGACUGCUAAUACCGCAUAAGACCACAGCACCGCAUGGUGCAGGGGUAAAAACUCCGGUGGUACAGGAUGGACCCGCGUCUGAUUAGCUGGUUGGUGAGGUAACGGCUCACCAAGGCGACGAUCAGUAGCCGGCUUGAGAGAGUGAACGGCCACAUUGGGACUGAGACACGGCCCAAACUCCUACGGGAGGCAGCAGUGGGGAAUAUUGCACAAUGGGGGAAACCCUGAUGCAGCGACGCCGCGUGAGUGAAGAAGUAUCUCGGUAUGUAAAGCUCUAUCAGCAGGGAAGAAAAUGACGGUACCUGACUAAGAAGCCCCGGCUAACUACGUGCCAGCAGCCGCGGUAAUACGUAGGGGGCAAGCGUUAUCCGGAAUUACUGGGUGUAAAGGGUGCGUAGGUGGUAUGGCAAGUCAGAAGUGAAAACCCAGGGCUUAACUCUGGGACUGCUUUUGAAACUGUCAGACUGGAGUGCAGGAGAGGUAAGCGGAAUUCCUAGUGUAGCGGUGAAAUGCGUAGAUAUUAGGAGGAACAUCAGUGGCGAAGGCGGCUUACUGGACUGAAACUGACACUGAGGCACGAAAGCGUGGGGAGCAAACAGG
Molecule: ribosomal RNA, 744 nt
Filed under: uncultured Lachnospiraceae bacterium
Lineage: Bacteria; Bacillati; Bacillota; Clostridia; Lachnospirales; Lachnospiraceae
Description: bacterial SSU rRNA
Rfam family: Bacterial small subunit ribosomal RNA
Source: RNAcentral